UCAAUGGACGCAAGUCUGAACCAGCCAUGCCGCGUGCAGGAUGACGGUCCUAUGGAUUGUAAACUGCUUUUGUACGAGAAGAAACACUCCUAUGUAUAGGAGCUUGACGGUAUCGUAAGAAUAAGGAUCGGCUAACUCC
This 139-nucleotide ribosomal RNA is filed under the name Flavobacterium sp. RNAcentral's name for it is "partial 16S ribosomal RNA". It matches the Rfam family "Bacterial small subunit ribosomal RNA", at positions 368 to 504 of the family's 1533-position model. The record is from RNAcentral. Lineage: Bacteria; Pseudomonadati; Bacteroidota; Flavobacteriia; Flavobacteriales; Flavobacteriaceae.